This 2325-nucleotide long non-coding RNA is filed under the name Helianthus annuus (common sunflower). RNAcentral's name for it is "sRNA HanXRQr2_Chr04g0166591". The record is from RNAcentral. Lineage: Eukaryota; Viridiplantae; Streptophyta; Magnoliopsida; Asterales; Asteraceae.
AACAUGAUUCCUUAUUUCCUUCUUUAGUUAAAAAAAAAAGAAAACUCUAAUACCUAAUCUCUCUCAACUCUCUCAACUACUGCAGCCGACAUCAUCAAGAUCCACCGCACCACGGCAAUCCGGCAUCCACCGCUCCACUGCACCGGCAUCAAGAUCCUCCCAUGUCCGCCUGCAUCCACCGCUGGCCAUCCACCACGCAUAGCACUCCGGCAGUUCAAAAUUUGCCGAUAUCAGAUCUGAAUCUAAAUUGAAGUUCGGUUUGAUUCGGAGUUGAAGAUUGGAACAAAUAACAGUAUGUGCAGCUGAAUGGUUUGGGUAUUUUGAAUAAGAACUGUUGAUUAAAAUCGAAGUCGGAUACUUUUAGUUCAUUUCGGAAACUAAAAACUGGAUUUUGUUGGAUCAGGCCCCUUUUUUAGGACUUUAAGGUUCCUGUAAUAGCAUAAACAAUGUGUGAAUCACAGUUUGAUUUUUUUUUAAUCACAGUUUGAUUUUUUAGUGUUCGUUAACAGGUAUUAACAGCUAAUUUUCGUGUAUAUCGUGUCGUGUUCGUGUUUGAAAAAAAGGACACGAAAUCUUAUCGUGUCGUGUUCGUGUAUGGCCUUUCGUGUAUCGUGUCUUAUCGUGUCGUAUCUUAUCGGGUACGGGUAUACACGAUAUGUCAGCCCUAGUUCCAAAUAGCUUUUGGCUUGGUGAAACUUAUUAUGUGGAACAACUUCUAUACAUUUGACAAAUCACCAAGCUAAUAUCUGUAUCUUAUCUAUUACAAUUCAUCACCAAAUCUAUACUUAUACUUUAUCUCACCAAAUUUAUUUAACAACAAUACAAAAUACUUAGAAAUUACAAUAACGAACCCACUACAAACAAUGAUAUAAUGAGCUUUGUCCUUUUUAGUAGAAACUACACUAACUACCCUAGUAAACGAACAAAGUGAAAUGACUGAAAUCCAAAAUCAUAAAAAUAAUCAAUAAAUAAAAUGAAUUUAGUAACCAAACACCGUUAGAAGCCCUUUAUCUAACCAACUAUACACCCAGACGAAAACUUCAUAUCAGGAUAAGGUGAUAACGGCGGCACCUCAAAUAUCCCUUUCCCGUUACCCUCACCAAAAUCCCAAACAGCCGUCCAACUAGACGGUGUUAACGGCACAACACCACCCCCAUCCGUUGUCUUAACGACGUCACACACCUUGGUUUCCGGCUCAACUUUCGGUUGUUUCCAGGGUUCAACAUCUAGUUCCGUCUCUCUAACAACCCUUUUCCGCCCACUACUCUUCACCUCCACCAGCGAACACCCAAUUUCCAACGGGAAAUUUAAUAUCGCCUUAUUACCACGAAGCUUAAACGCUGCACGGUCGUACGCCUUAGCUGCUUGUACGGCCGUGUCAAACGUCCCCAACCAAACCCGUGUUCCUUUUUUAUUCGGGUCACGGAUUUCGGCUGCGAACUUUCCCCACGGCCGUUGUCUUACUCCUCUAUAAUGUAUUCUUUCCGCCACUAAGGGAAUUGAGAUGUUUAUAGCGGGUUUUCGUUCUUUUAAAGUAUUACGGUAAUUAGUUUCAACGUUACCAUUAGUUGAUGGUGAAGUUUGAGGGUAGGUUUGAAAGAAGGAUGCGUCGUCGAUGAGGAGGUGUUGGCGGAUGAGGUCUAGAGUUGAGGAUUCUUGUUCGGAAGCCAUUGAUGAUGAUAAAUGGAAUUGAGUUGUUGAAUUUGAAGUGGAAAAAUGAGGAGUGAUAUGAAAAGAUUUAUAGGGGUGAAUUUGAAGGUAAAAGGUGGGCGCGAGGGUGGUUCGAGGAGGAAGGAAGGAAGGAAGUAGCCAAAUGAGUUUGGUUUUAUCGAUGGUUUGUCUUUUUAUCACACUUGCUUUGUUACCCCCACCAUGCAACUUGAUUUCUUAAACUUGUGAAAGGGGUGGGUUACUUGUUUAGGCGGGGUAAUAAGUCUUAACGGGUUUGUUUGGGUUAGAACAUGUCAUAUUUAAAAAAAAACGUUAUUUGUGAAUUUUUAAAAUAACGGGUAGAGGUCCGUUUUAGAAAAUAUUGCUUUUUUUAUCCGGUUUUCAUGGCUCUUUUCCUCUUAGUUAGGGAUAUCCAAAGUCGGUUCAGUUAUGAAGGCUUAACCUUAACAAUAACAAUAACCGAAAUUUGGUUUUGGAGAAUUACUUAACCAUAACUAUAACCAAUGGUCAGUUAAGCAUGAUUCCGUUAACCGUUGGUUAUAAACCAGUUUUAGUUAUUUUUGGUUGAUUGUCCAAUGUAUUUUUGUUCUUAUUUUUAUUUUUUUUGCUUUGUUUAAACUGAAAAUGGUUUGAUUAUGAUGUUCUAUACUAGGU